ACCCAGAUGAGCAAAGAGUAGGAAAGAAGAUUUCCUCUCGUCAGUAUACAUACUUCAGGAUUGCUCUGUGUGUGUAGAGGGAAAACAACAGUUACAUGCUUUCUCAGAAAUGAAGAUUGGCCUCUUUACACUGGAAGACCUUUGCCAGUGGUGCAUUCAUUUCAGAGCACUUCCACCUUCUUUGUACAAGCUUGAUGAAAAAAUCAACUCAGCAUGGAUGAAUGCCAAACCACAUUUCUGGGGGGACAAAAAUAACACAAGGAUCAUUUUCUGAAGUACUUCCUGCAAGAGCCUGACUAGCAGUUGAUAACACCACCUAACCUGAAUGAGAACAGCCUUGGGGCUGUACCGUCAGAAAGAAAAAUGCACCAUCUGGAGAUGUGUGCGUGGGAGGCACCAGCUUCAGCAACCUUCAUCAAGCAACCGUGGGCUUGCUGCUUGCAACCUGCCACUCUUUUUGAAGGGCCCUUCACAUAACCAGAUGAUGUGGGACUGCAGCCACAAAAAACUGCUCAGCUGCCCACCCCAUCUUACACUUCCCCAGUGAUCCUGCCACUGCUGCCCCUUGCACCUGAGAGUGCAUCUCACUCAUGAGCAAGCCACAGCCAUAGACCACAUGCAUGUGGCUAUGCUGUUGCAACUGCUGUCAUGCAUCCCCCAUUCCCUGGUGACCACAAAAAUCAGUUGUUCUCCAUGGCAAAGGAUGUGCUGCUGCUUAUGUGCUGAUGGCAUGGGGCUGGAGUGCAGAAUCUCUCCUGGCCUGGGUUAUACAAAGUGGUUACACAAAUAAGUCCUGCCCAAAAUAAUCCACACCAAAUCUUUUCCCUAAAAGAGGAUCUACUGCAAAUACUCUUGUGUGCUAACAGUAUAUGUUAUGCUACAUCUUGUAUUUCCAAUAGGCUCCUAGGAUGUGGUCCUGUGUGUCAGUUCUUAGCAGAACACAUGCUUUCAAAUACAUUUCCAGAGGAUGGGAAAUGUCUGUUUAAAUAAAAUAAAAUAAAUAAAUAAAAUAAAUAAAUAGAAUAAAUAAAAUAAAAAUCCUCUCUGAUUUGGAAAAAAUACAAGUGAAAGUAUUGCAGAGCUAUCUUUCACUGAUAUGCUUAAUAAAUCUGAAUGUGGUUUCCACAGACAUUUAAGCCUACUUAUAUUUUGUAUUAAUACAAUUUAGACUGUCACUUCUAAUUUAUUGGCUUAACAAGAAGUAGACUGCAAAGGUGCAAAGGUCAUCUUAAAUGAUUUAAAAUCAAGUAUUGACAAAUUUUCUCUAUCAUAUUAACUACCUCAUACAUCAGAACUGCUUUUAACUGCUUUCACAAAACCACAACUUAGAGAGUUUUCUAAAAGAGUAAAAUCUGCCAAACUGAAGCAAGUUUCCUCAUCACUGAUGCCACCUUUCUUUCUGAUUUAUGGAAAUGCUGUGCUGUUAAUCUUGCUCAAAAUUAAUCAAAUUGGAAAAAUAAAAUUGUUGUUCUCUCCAUACUAUCAAUGGAAAAUGUUUAUGACUAUGAAGCAAAAUGCAAGAAGACCAAAGCGCAGCAAUAAAGGACAUUUUCAACA
This is a long non-coding RNA of Coturnix japonica (Japanese quail), 1557 nucleotides long. RefSeq lists it as uncharacterized. NCBI's taxonomy places the organism in Eukaryota, Metazoa, Chordata, Aves, Galliformes, Phasianidae. The record is from RefSeq and is a predicted model, not a curated record.